UACUCCUACGGGAGGCAGCAGUAGGGAAUCUUCCACAAUGGACGAAAGCCUGAUGGAGCAACGCCGCGUGUGUGAUGAAGGGUUUCGGCUCGUAAAACACUGUUGUAAGAGAAGAAUGACAUUGAGAGUAACUGUUCAAUGUGUGACGGUAUCUUACCAGAAAGGAACGGCUAAAUACGUGCCAGCAGCCGCGGUAAU
RNAcentral lists this ribosomal RNA (198 nucleotides) under uncultured Weissella sp. RNAcentral's name for it is "partial 16S rRNA". It matches the Rfam family "Bacterial small subunit ribosomal RNA", at positions 334 to 524 of the family's 1533-position model. The record is from RNAcentral. Lineage: Bacteria; Bacillati; Bacillota; Bacilli; Lactobacillales; Lactobacillaceae.